Molecule: long non-coding RNA, 1651 nt
Organism: Pan troglodytes (chimpanzee)
Lineage: Eukaryota; Metazoa; Chordata; Mammalia; Primates; Hominidae
Exons: 2
Source: RefSeq, a predicted model, not a curated record
AGCGCGCCGCCAUGAUUCCCGGUGGCUUCUUCCCGCGAGUCCUUGCAGUUGCUUCUCGCCCGACGUCCCCGCCUUCGGGGGAGCACUGACUCGGACGCACCCGGCCGGGGGUGGUUCUCUCGGAGCCUGGGCUCGGAUGUCUCUGGAGCUCGGGUCAGGGCUGUCUGGGGCCCGGCGUCUGCUGAAGGCCCAGAGCCUCGCUCCAUCCCGGGGACCCCGGGUCGCCGAGGGCCGUGAGGACCCGGCUGCUCAGGGACCCUAAGGACGUCGUCAGGCCCAGGCCCUGUGCGCCGCCCUGGGGUGUGAGGGCCGGCAGCCAUGUGGCUGCUGAGGAGCUGGGUGGGGGCCGCAGCGGCCUCCAGGGCCAGGGUCAGGGUCCGCUGGGCCCGAAUCAACCAGGCCGGCCGCAGAGGGAUCGGGCUCUUCCGCCCGCCCCCACGCCGCCCCAGCCUGUGCGGGGAGCCGGCGGCCCGGGUUUGGAGGCAGAGAGGCCACGAAGGCCUGAGCUCCUGUCGUCUCCUCACGCGGAAGGUCCAGAGCCCACUCCGACCAGCAUUCCCCGUGGAAGUGGCGGCCUCUCUGGGUGGGGGUCCCUGAGCUGGUCCCCACAGUCUCUCACCGGCCCUGGGAGCGGGGCGUUUCUCUUCUGUCCUUGCCCCCUGCCUGACAGGCACUUUGGUUUUCAUCCUCCCUUGGAAAUGCUCCCUCUGGAACCCGCCUGCCCCUGGCCCUGUGCUCAGCCCGGGGGUGCCGGCCUGGAGCCAAGGUGGAGCCGGGGUGGGCUCCGGAGGACGGACCGCAGAGGUGGGCUGGGAGGCGCUGGCGAGCACGCAGCUCCUUCAGGCUCGUCCCAGCCUCACGUCCGGAGUCACCGCAGCAGAAUAGAGUCACAGCCUGGGUGUGCGCUCCCUGGACCUUCCCGCGUGAGGAGGCAACAGGAGCCCAUGUUCAUCAUUUUGAAGAAUCACAGAUUUUGAGUCAUGCCAGGGGCUCCGGUGAAAAUGUCAUGGGAAGCCAGCCCUCCGCGUCUAACAUUUCAGCUUGAGGGUGACCGGGAGCUCUGGGGUGGCCCUAGACCUGGGAAUGGGCUCCCAGGCGCAGUGGCAGGCAUUUCUCUUGCUUUUUCUUUAUGAUUGACCUGGGCUGGCCAUGUCCCCGUCAAUGCAGCUGGUUCUCAAAGGCCCCACUCUUCCCCACGGCUCCGUUUACCACCAACCCGCUUGUCCCGUCGCACGUAGAGGCGGACCUGCUCCUCCUGAGAAUCCAGGAAGGAACUGAAGAGACGACGUUGCUUUCUGAUCUUUCUCAGGCCAGAGGAAGUUUGUGGAGCCAAGUGAUAUUCCUAAUUCGAACUUUAUUAUGUAAUUAUAGUACAAAACAUAUUAUUUUUCUCUUUAUUUUCCUCUCUCAGUUAAUGGUAAAUUUUAUUGCAUAAAUAAAUUACACAUGCUGUAAUUCAUGCCUCGCAGCCUACACACCAAUUAAAUCCGAAGCUGACACAGUCCACACACAAUUACAUGGAAUCUGCAAAGUGAAAGGAUCAUGUAUUUGCACUGCGGUAACAGGCAGAGCCAUUUAGCGACGUGACGGCUGUAAGUGGAGGGCAAGCGGAGUCUGUGCUCGGGGGUGAUUGAUGGGCCCCGCGAGAGGC